CAGAACUCCUGCGAGGAGCCCCUCAUGUCGACGUAGCCUCCGUAGACGAACAUGGAGGAACCAAACACCACUGCACUGUGGCUCUUCCUGUUGGUCGGUAUCUGUGCACACAUUUGGUGGACCCAUUUGUUCUUCCCUGGAGAGUGAAAUGAAAAGAAAGAAGAGAAAGGAACUGAGCAGUGAAAACAGGGGUCUGGAGAUGGAAGCUAAGCAGCACUCAGCAGGGUAUUGUGUCAGGCUAAACACUUCACAAUUUGUGCUAUUUUGAGGCACGCUGGGAGCAUGGAUAUUGUGUCCUGCUAUUGUCUGAAUGUUUCCCAUUCUUUUUAAAUUGUGUUUCAGAAACAUUGUUUGGAGAAAGGCUAGUCACUUAGGAUAAAAUGUAUAGAUAAAUUACCGGUAAGCGUUUUUUUCAGUUUUAGUGAAUAUCAUUGUAUGUUGCAUAUUUAAAACAUUGUCAUAAACUAGUGAACAACAACAAAAUGCAGCGCUUUACAACAUAUAAAGGAAUAACUGCACCACCGUGUAUUAAUAUUGAAAGAUUAUUCAAUUUUUACACGGGUAUAUUGAAUAAUGAAGAAUGCUCAUACUGUGACCCCUAAACAACCGCCUUCAUUUCAUAUUUUCACUUUGGAUGAUUGUGGGAAUGUGACAGAUUAACUUUCUGACAUGUUGGUAUCAGUGUAAAUACCAGAGCUCUAAAGGUCUACAAGCACAGGCAAGUACGCUGGUCGGGCCAAGGCACCCGCUCCCCACAGCAGAAACUCCUGUGAAGCAACUCACCCAAGUCAAACACCCACAGUGGACACCCACAACCUGUGUACGCACCGUCCAGGGUCCCCCCGAACGCGUACAGGAAGCCCUGGAAUCACCAAAUCAUCUGUUAGAUGUGUUACUGGACUGGAGCAAAACAGUGAUGUCCUUCCAGACCUAGAUCAGGGCGGCAGAUAAGGCUGAUAACAAUGGGAUUUUUAUUAGAGAAUAAAAGGCCAUUGCGUCGGGAUGUGCAAGUCCCAACAGUCAAGCA
This is a long non-coding RNA of Gadus macrocephalus (Pacific cod), 1027 nucleotides long. RefSeq lists it as uncharacterized. The transcript has 2 exons. NCBI's taxonomy places the organism in Eukaryota, Metazoa, Chordata, Actinopteri, Gadiformes, Gadidae. The record is from RefSeq and is a predicted model, not a curated record.